This 660-nucleotide ribosomal RNA is filed under the name uncultured Lactobacillus sp. RNAcentral describes it as "bacterial SSU rRNA". It matches the Rfam family "Bacterial small subunit ribosomal RNA", at positions 57 to 683 of the family's 1533-position model. The record is from RNAcentral. Lineage: Bacteria; Bacillati; Bacillota; Bacilli; Lactobacillales; Lactobacillaceae.
GCAAGUCGAACGAAACUUCUUUAUCACCGAGUGCUUGCACUCACCGAUAAAGAGUUGAGUGGCGAACGGGUGAGUAACACGUGGGCAACCUGCCCAAAAGAGGGGGAUAAACACUUGGAAACAGGUGCUAAUACCGCAUAACCAUAGUUACCGCAUGGUAACUAUGUAAAAGGUGGCUAUGCUACCGCUUUUGGAUGGGCCCGCGGCGCAUUAGCUAGUUGGUGGGGUAAAGGCUUACCAAGGCAAUGAUGCGUAGCCGAACUGAGAGGUUGAUCGGCCACAUUGGGACUGAGACACGGCCCAAACUCCUACGGGAGGCAGCAGUAGGGAAUCUUCCACAAUGGGCGAAAGCCUGAUGGAGCAACGCCGCGUGGGUGAAGAAGGUCUUCGGAUCGUAAAACCCUGUUGUUAGAGAAGAAAGUGCGUGAGAGUAACUGUUCACGUUUCGACGGUAUCUAACCAGAAAGCCACGGCUAACUACGUGCCAGCAGCCGCGGUAAUACGUAGGUGGCAAGCGUUAUCCGGAUUUAUUGGGCGUAAAGGGAACGCAGGCGGUCUUUUAAGUCUGAUGUGAAAGCCUUCGGCUUAACCGGAGUAGUGCAUUGGAAACUGGGAGACUUGAGUGCAGAAGAGGAGAGUGGAACUCCAUGUGUAGCGGUG